Molecule: ribosomal RNA, 266 nt
Filed under: uncultured Synergistaceae bacterium
Lineage: Bacteria; Thermotogati; Synergistota; Synergistia; Synergistales; Synergistaceae
Description: partial 16S ribosomal RNA
Rfam family: Bacterial small subunit ribosomal RNA
Source: RNAcentral
UAACAGGACGAGCUGAGCACUCUGGCGAGACUGCCGCCGACAAGGCGGAGGAAGGUGGGGAGUGACGUCAAGUCAUCAUGGCCUUUAUGCCCAGGGCUACACACGUGCUACAAUGGCCGGCACAGACGGCAGCUUAGUGGCGACACUUGGCAAAUCCUCUAAAGCCGGUCCCAGUUCGGAUUGCAGUCUGCAACUCGACUGCAUGAAGCCGGAAUCGCUAGUAAUCGCAGAUCAGCCAAGCUGCGGUGAAUACGUUCCCGGGCCUU